This 66-nucleotide transfer RNA is filed under the name Parafagocyba longa. RNAcentral's name for it is "tRNA-Ile". Lineage: Eukaryota; Metazoa; Arthropoda; Insecta; Hemiptera; Cicadellidae. The record is from RNAcentral.
UAUGAAAUGCCUGAAAAAGGAUUAUUCUGAUAGAAUAAAUUAUGUAAAUAAAAAUUACUUUCAUUG